RNAcentral lists this long non-coding RNA (1968 nucleotides) under Salmo salar (Atlantic salmon). RNAcentral's name for it is "lncRNA (ENSSSAG00000086383.1)". Lineage: Eukaryota; Metazoa; Chordata; Actinopteri; Salmoniformes; Salmonidae. The record is from RNAcentral.
GUGAGUGUUGAUUCAUUGGUGCAACCAACCGUUGGUAGCAUCUUCCGAAGCUGGAAGCAAAAUGAAAACAUGUUGAUGUUACGCGCCAUUUAGAGGGUUCGGAGAGUGGAACAUCAGCUAUAGAAAAGACAAGAGAAUAGACACAUGAAAAAUAUUAUAGUAUACUAUGGUACAAAUGCUGUAGUAUUCAUUGUAGUGUUUUUGCCGACUUUACUGUAGUAUAUUCACUGUAGUGUUUUUGUGGACAUUAGAGUAGUAUUAUUUACUACAGUGUUUGUGUUUUAUCAUCUUUGAUAUAGCAGUGGAGGGUUUCUCCUUGAGGAUCCUGUUGGACAAAAUACGCAAAGAGCAAAUGUUCCAUUACCUGUAGGAAAUCAAAGAUCAAAGCUCAUGUGGUCAGAUGAGGCAAGCAUAUAAGGCUGAGUGGUGAGUUAUCAUUUACUUCCUCCUUUAUAACAGCAGGGAGAUGCAAUGUACUCUCCCUCCUCUUCUCUAUCUCUCCUUCCUCCCCAUCUCUCUCCAUCCUCUCCUCUAUCUCUCCUUCCUGCCCAUCUCUCACCCUCCUCUAUCUCUCCUUCCUGCCCAUCUCUCACCCUCCUCUAUCUCUCCUUCCUCCCCAUCUCUCACCCUCCUCUCCUCUAUCUCUCCUUCCUCCCCAUCUCUCACCAUCCUCUCCUCUAUCUCUCCUUCCUGCCCAUCUCUCACCCUCCUCUAUCUCUCCUUCCUCCCCAUCUCUCACCCUCCUCUCCUCUAUCUCUCCUUCCUCCCCAUCUCUCUCCAUCCUCUCCUCUAUCUCUCCUUCCUGCCCAUCUCUCACCCUCCUCUAUCUCUCCUUCCUCCCCAUCUCUCACCCUCCUCUAUCUCUCCUUCCUCCCCAUCUCUCACCCUCCUCUCCUCUAUCUCUCCUUCCUCCCCAUCUCUCUCCAUCCUCUCCUCUAUCUCUCCUUCCUCCCCAUCUCUCACCCUCCUCUAUCUCUCCUUCCUCCCCAUCUCUCACCCUCCUCUAUCUCUCCUUCCUCCCCAUCUCUCACCCUCCUCUCCUCUAUCUCUCCUUCCUCCCCAUCUCUCUCCAUCCUCUCCUCUAUCUCUCCUUCCUCCCCAUCUCUCACCCUCCUCUCCUCUAUCUCUCCUUCCUCCCCAUCUCUCUCCAUCCUCUCCUCUAUCUCUCCUUCCUCCCCAUCUCUCACCCUCCUCUAUCUCUCCUUCCUCCCCAUCUCUCUACAUCCUCUAUCUCUCCUUCCUCCCCUAUCUCUCUCCCUCCUCUCCUCUAUCUUUCCUUCCUCCCCAUCUCUCUCCAUCCUCUCCUCUAUCUCUCCUUCCUCCCCAUCUCGCUCCAUCCUUUCCUCAAUCUCUCCUUCCUCCCCCAUCUCUCACCCUCCUCUAUCUCUCCUUCCUCCCCAUCUCUCUCCAUCCUCUCCUCAAUCUCUCCUUCCUCCCCCAUCUCUCUCAUCCUCUCCUCUAUCUCUCCUUCCUCCCCAUCUCUCUCCAUCCUCUCCUCUAUCUCUCCUUCCUCCCCAUCCUCUCCUCUAUCUCUCCUUCCUCCCCCAUCUCUCUCAUUCUCUCCUCUAUCUCUCCUUCCUCCCCAUCUCUCAUUAUCCUCUCCUCUCUCUCCUUCCUCCCCAUCUCUCUUCAUCUCUCCUCAUCCCCAUAUCCAUCAUCUUCACUAUCUCUCUCUCCUUCUCUCGCCAUACUAUCAUGCUCCAUCUCUCUCCAUCUCUCUCCUUCUCUCUCCAUACUAUCCUGCUCCCUCUCCAUACUAUCAUGGUCCAUCGCUGUCCAUCUCUCUCCAUCUCUUUCCAUCCUCUCCUCCUCUCUCAUCUCUCUCCUUCUCUCUCCUUCUCUCUCCUCCUUUCACAUCUCUCUCCAUGACUUACUAUGUGCCUCCGAGAUGCCCCCCUCUACACGCACGCACACACACACACACACACACACGCACGCACGCACGCACGCACACACACACACACACAC